Molecule: long non-coding RNA, 1603 nt
Organism: Mustela lutreola (European mink)
Lineage: Eukaryota; Metazoa; Chordata; Mammalia; Carnivora; Mustelidae
Exons: 2
Source: RefSeq, a predicted model, not a curated record
CCCUGCCCUCCCCCAUCUUGACCCCGUGGCCCCUCCCCAUCCCCCGCGCCCCCCUCUCCGCAUCUCCGUCACCCCCCACACCACAUUCUCCCCACACGGCUCCAAACUUCCUCCCAAGGAACUCAGGCCUGCGGGUUUCCGAGAAACCGUAAAUAUAACCCCAAAGUGUGGCUGGCUCCCAACGAAGGGACGGGCCAGCAGCCGAGGAAGGACAAGGGUCUCCCCCGGCGCGCACAGGAGCGGGUCCUCAGAUCAUCUGAGCCGCGCUCCCCACGGCGGGCGGGCGGGCAGGCCGGGUGGCGGUGCCAGCCCAGCCCCAAGUCAGCUCUCACGUCGGAGUCCAGGAGCCCAGGCGGACCCCCGGAUGACCGACGCCUGUCACGGCGGCAGAGCUGGCUCCACCCCGCUCCAUCCUUCCCUCCUCACAGACGACUGCGGACCACGCGCCUGACCUCCCCCGCACCCCUCACCCACCUGGGGCGGCAGCCGGUCGGUGGCGGCGACGAUCUGCCACAGGAGCGCAUAAUUCCAGCUGCUCAGGUCGUGUGCACUGGCCAGAAACGCACACGAGGAUUUACAGCUCAGCCCCACCAGGAGCUCCGCCGUUCCCCAGGUGAGCCGCGAACACUGGUCAGUAGGUCUCAGAGCUGAGGGAUCACCUCCCGGCUGACUGAGGGGCCACCAAGCCCAGGUGGCCCAGCUGGGCUCCCUCAGGAUGAUGUCCAGCACCCGCCUGGUGAGGCCUUCCCCACUCCUGGGGACGCAGCUCAGAGCCCCCGAUGGGCAGGAUGGGCUCCCAGGUGGCCCAGAGCCACCAGGCACACCCACAGGACACCCGCACAAAGGUCUGAGUCCUCCCCACCUCACCUGGGACACGGGGACAUUCGUCUGAGUAAGGCAGCAGGCACAUGGCUUGGGGGUCAUUCCCAAGGGAACGAACCCAAGGGGUUGUUCCCCCGAGGGAACAGGCGCGCUGCCCCCCUCACCUGUAGAAGGCAGCCAGUCUCCGCAGCGUGGAGCAGAUCCGCCCCAUCUCACCGUGUCCAAGGAACAGGCCCUGCUUCUACACAGUGGGGAGAGAGCAGAGGGGGUGGUGGCGGGACACGCAGGUUCCAGGGGGGCUUCCCCAGGGCACCGGACCAGCUUCGAGCCAGGCCCGUGUUCCUGCCUGCUCUGUCCCCAACUUUCCGGUGGGCAGCUCUUUGAGAUCUCCAAAGGGAAACAGUGCCCCGGGCCAUUCUGAGUCCAGCUCUGCAGGAAACGAAGGGGACCAGAGGACACCCCCAAAGACGCGUAGGCUGCAGAACAAGGACGUCGGGAUCUGCGACCUCCCACCUCCACACACUUGCCUCACAUCCCUGCCAAGAACCUGCCACAGGGAAUACGCUUCUCCCUUGACAGCGGAGAGAACAGACACAGGUGCGUCGCUGACCUGCGGCACCCCACAAUCGCGGCAGGCCCAGGUUCAAGAGCAACCUGGAGUCCUGCCUGUGGAAACAAGCAGAGCGUCACAAGCAAGGUGCCUCAGUCAGGGCCGGACGCCAGGCCCACAGGCCACACGGCCCUCAGCCCGUCUGUGUCAAUAAAGUUUUACUGGAACGUG